Megalops atlanticus (tarpon) is the source of this 73-nucleotide non-coding RNA. NCBI's taxonomy places the organism in Eukaryota, Metazoa, Chordata, Actinopteri, Elopiformes, Megalopidae. The record is from the annotation of a GenBank genome assembly.
AGCCGUGUGGCGUAGUGGUAGUGAGUAGGGCUUGUAACCAAAAGGUUGCUGGUUCGAUUCCCCGCUGGGGCGC